UGGGGAAUUUUGGACAAUGGGGGAAACCCUGAUCCAGCCAUCCCGCGUGUGCGAUGAAGGCCUCCGGGUUGUAAAGCACUUUUGGCAGGAAAGAAACGUCAUGGGUUAAUACCCCGUGAAACUGACGGUACCUGCAGAAUAAGCACCGGCUAACUACGUGCCAGCAGCCGCGGUAAUACGUAGGGUGCAAGCGUUAAUCGGAAUUACUGGGCGUAAAGCGUGCGCAGGCGGUUCGGAAAGAAAGAUGUGAAAUCCCAGAGCUCAACUUUGGAACUGCAUUUUUAACUACCGGGCUAGAGUGUGUCAGAGGGAGGUGGAAUUCCGCGUGUAGCAGUGAAAUGCGUAGAUAUGCGGAGGAACACCGAUGGCGGAGGCAGCCUCCUGGGAUAACACUGACGCUCAUGCACGAAAGCGUGGGGAGCAAACAGG
Molecule: ribosomal RNA, 429 nt
Filed under: Acidobacteriota bacterium
Lineage: Bacteria; Pseudomonadati; Acidobacteriota
Description: Acidobacteria bacterium partial 16S ribosomal RNA
Rfam family: Bacterial small subunit ribosomal RNA
Source: RNAcentral